Drosophila obscura is the source of this 688-nucleotide long non-coding RNA. RefSeq lists it as uncharacterized. The record is from RefSeq and is a predicted model, not a curated record. The transcript is spliced from 3 exons. Lineage: Eukaryota; Metazoa; Arthropoda; Insecta; Diptera; Drosophilidae.
UUUCCAUCAAUCCACUUGUUAAAUUUGUUAGAAUAUGAUCAUUAUUGUUGAUAUGUGCAGUAUACAAAUUAUAUUACCGGGUACACAAAAUUCGAUCCAAAUCUAGUUUAUGAUGCAAGUCCAGGCGUGAAAUUGAGAAGUGUGUGCAUAAAUGGGGAGACAGCAUCCUUAUCCGUUUUCGGCUGUAUCUAUAUGUGUCCUGAAAAAUGAAAAAUUUGUAUUUUAGUUAACUUUCAGAACCACUGACCACCUCAUUUUCAUAACUAUUUUCGAGUCAUAAAAUGAGGUCGGUUGUGGAUAGCUUUUCGUGCAACUUUAAUAGUGUGGAACUUUUUUCUGGGAUUUGUUUUGCCCUUUUGAAUUAAAAUAAGAUUUGGAGAACAAUUUUUAAUUAAAUACUGAAGGCACAAGGCUCUACAACUCUUGUGUUUUAAUGAAACAAUCCUUCGUAAAAAUACUUGAAUAUUCAUACGCGACGUUGACCAGACCACGUCCCGCCACAAAACAGAAGACACGCACACAACAGCGGUAAAAUGUUGUAAAAAUAAAUACAUAAUUGAAUGAGUGAAAGGUAGACAAUGCGUGAAAGAGGGGUUGAAAGCCUGUGGUAUUUGUUUCGUGUGCAAAUAAACUGAGAGAAUAAAAUCACUAAAUGAAACAAUAAGAGGAGACAGUGCCAGUCCUGAAU